UACAGAGGGGGCAAGCGUUGUUCGGAAUUACUGGGCGUAAAGGGCGCGUAGGCGGCCUUCUAAGUCGAACGUGAAAUCCCCGGGCUCAACCCGGGAACUGCGUCCGAGACUGCAUUGCUAGAGUAUGGGAGAGGAAAGCGGAAUUUCUGGUGUAGCAGUGAAAUGCGUAGAUAUCAGAAGGAACAUCAGUGGCGAAGGCGAGUCUCUGGACAUUUCCUGACGCUGAGGCACGAAAGCCAGGGGAGCAAACGGG
Molecule: ribosomal RNA, 253 nt
Filed under: uncultured bacterium
Lineage: Bacteria
Description: partial 16S ribosomal RNA
Rfam family: Bacterial small subunit ribosomal RNA
Source: RNAcentral